Molecule: long non-coding RNA, 490 nt
Organism: Gigantopelta aegis
Lineage: Eukaryota; Metazoa; Mollusca; Gastropoda; Neomphalida; Peltospiridae
Exons: 3
Source: RefSeq, a predicted model, not a curated record
UCUGACUAUUGUUUUAACUUCAAAAAUGUACGAACAGAAUCGCUGUUUGUCAUUUAAUAAUCAUAUUUGUGUUAAAAGUGUAUAAAUGUGAGAGAAAAAAAGCUGUGCAUGGAUAUAAUACUACCCAAUAACGACAGCUAACUACUGUGCUCUGUUUUUUGUUGUGGGUUUUUUUGCUAUGUUUUCUGCAUGUUUUGAGUGGAUCAAUGAACAGAGAGGGAACCCUUUGAUAUGCUACUGAGGUGAUUCGACGUAAGCAUCUCAGGCGAGCACUCUACCGACUGAGCUAGAAUCAAGACCCCAGUUUGUUUUAUGCAGGCAUUGCCAGAUGAGCUUCAACAAUAAUUUAUGGUGUGUGAAUACGUAAUUUAUAUGCACUAAUUGUUCAUUAUGGCAGGUAUUUGAACCCCCAUCUGUCAUGGUUCAGUAAACAAUUUUGAUUUUUAAUGCGCAAAAAAAGGAGUCUUCAAACGAUUCCGUCAUUUAUCAU